UUAACGAGCCGGGGGUGCCUGUUUGCAGGCUGAGAUCAUACCCUUGGAACCUGAUACGGAUCAUACCGGUGGAGGGAGGCUCCUGCGCCAGCAU
This 94-nucleotide non-coding RNA is filed under the name Thiothrix nivea. RNAcentral's name for it is "TPP sequence". It matches the Rfam family "TPP riboswitch aptamer (THI element)". From Rfam's summary of the family: Vitamin B(1) in its active form thiamin pyrophosphate (TPP) is an essential coenzyme that is synthesised by coupling of pyrimidine and thiazole moieties in bacteria. The previously detected thiamin-regulatory element, thi box was extended, resulting in a new, highly conserved RNA secondary structure, the THI element, which is widely distributed in eubacteria and also occurs in some archaea. Analysis of operon structures identified a large number of new candidate thiamin-regulated genes, mostly transporters, in various prokaryotic organisms. The record is from RNAcentral. RNAcentral also lists the same sequence under 1 other name. Lineage: Bacteria; Pseudomonadati; Pseudomonadota; Gammaproteobacteria; Thiotrichales; Thiotrichaceae.